GGAUGCUGGGACGACCGAGAUCGGCUUUCGGGAGUGGUCUCAAACUAUCCUAGCUGCUGCGGCAAAGAGCCGUGGUGACGAACGUCGGAUGAAAAGUUCGGUCGAGAUCCGAGCAGGC
This 118-nucleotide non-coding RNA is filed under the name Rhizobium sp. BK650. The record is from RNAcentral. Lineage: Bacteria; Pseudomonadati; Pseudomonadota; Alphaproteobacteria; Hyphomicrobiales; Rhizobiaceae.